This 939-nucleotide long non-coding RNA is filed under the name Mus musculus (house mouse). RNAcentral's name for it is "long non-coding RNA chr4:106404210-106405149". The record is from RNAcentral. Lineage: Eukaryota; Metazoa; Chordata; Mammalia; Rodentia; Muridae.
GACUAGGUAGCCAGCUUGCUCUGGGGACCUGAACUGCAGACUUCACAGUUGUCUAGAAGACACUUUAAGUCAUCACUCCAGCCCUCGUUUACCUGCUUUAGAAUGGUCUCCUAAAUAGAUAACUUAUAUAACCUUUUGUGGGUAUGUCCGUGACGAGGAGCAGGAUGGAGGCCAGGAGGAAUUGCAGGAGUUAGGUCCUCUCAUCUUCCACCACCAUGUGGGACCUGGGAAUUAGAAUCAGGCACUCAGACUUUGCAGUGCCUUUGCCUGCAGUGGUGUUUCUCUAGCCCCACAGUACAGGAGUUUGAGAUUCAAGUUGCAUUGUCCUAACCAUAACCAAGUCAAUAUUUUUUGGUAUGGCAUGUUUACAUAUUGCAAUCAACUAAAUUUUUUAUUAUACUUAACCACUGUAUUAUUAUGAAAUAUCCUUUCAGUUAGAAAUGAGCCAUUUUCAAACUGACUAAUAGUUACUCUCAAUAAAAAGUGACAUUCCAACCAUUUUUGUUAUUAGCUUUUUUUAAAUUCUUUUUUCCUUUUGAGUAAGUUUAUGCUGGCAGAAUGCUAGGCACUGAGUUACAAGACCAGAUAAAUUCAGUGAGAUUCAUAGAGUUUAUCAUAUAUGAAGAAAAAUUCUACAUGAAUGUGCUGCCCCUGGGGGCUCAGUGGUUAAGAGCACUGACUGCUCUUCCAAAGGUCCUGAGUUCAAAUUCCAGCAGCCACAUGGUGGCUCACAACCAUCUGUAAUAAGAUCUGACACCCUCUUCUGGUGCGUCUGAAGUCAGCUACAGUGUACUAAUAAAUAAAUUUUUGGGCCGGAGCAAGCAGGGACUUGCUCCAGGGAGUGGGGUUGACCGGAGCAAGCAGAGGUCCUAAAAAUUCAAUUCCCAGCAACCACAUGAAGGCUCACACCAUCUGUACAUCUACAGUGUACUCACAUGC